UUACACGCUGUGACUAGCAUAUCAAUAAGCGGAGGAAAAGAAACUAACAAGGAUUCCCCUAGUAACGGCGAGUGAAGCGGGAAGAGCUCAAAUUUGAAAUCUUAAAGGGUUUCCCUUUACGAAUUGUAGUUUAAAGAAGUGUUUUCUGUUGAGGUUUUGGUAAAAGUUCUUUGGAAUAGGACAUCAUAGAGGGUGAGAAUCCCGUAUUUGACCUUUACUUUCAACUUUGUGAUACACUUUCAAAGAGUCGGAUUGUUUGGGAAUGCAGUCCAAAAUGGGUGGUAAAUUUCAUCUAAAGCUAAAUAUUGGCGAGAGACCGAUAGCGAACAAGUACCGUGAGGGAAAGAUGAAAAGAACUUUGAAAAGAGAGUUAAACAGUACGUGAAAUUGUCAAAAGGGAAGCGUUUGACACCAGUGUUGUUUUUCUGAAAAUCAAUUAAAGAACUGUUUAUGCUAAGUUGUUUAGACUUUAUCAGCUAACUGUUUAGUUUUGAGCUUUUCUUUAAUGCACUUUUCAGUUAACAAGUCAACAUCAAUUUCUUUCGCUGUAAAAAAGCUUGAGGAAGGUGGCUUGAGAUUCGUCUUAAGUGUUUAUAGCCUCUUGCCUAUGCAGUCGGAGAGAUUGAGGUCUGCAGCGUAGAUCCUUCGGGGCUAAAUGCAUUUGUGCUAAGUUAUAGCAUUUUAUAGACAACUUGUUGACUAUGAUUUGUCUUGUAGCUUACUCGCUUAUGUUAUUUUACCUACGCUUAGGAUGUUGACGCGCGUGUGUGCGUG
RNAcentral lists this ribosomal RNA (774 nucleotides) under uncultured Neocallimastigales. RNAcentral's name for it is "partial large subunit ribosomal RNA". It matches the Rfam family "Eukaryotic large subunit ribosomal RNA", at positions 21 to 639 of the family's 3401-position model. The record is from RNAcentral. Lineage: Eukaryota; Fungi; Neocallimastigomycota; Neocallimastigomycetes; Neocallimastigales.